Molecule: ribosomal RNA, 743 nt
Filed under: uncultured bacterium
Lineage: Bacteria
Description: bacterial SSU rRNA
Rfam family: Bacterial small subunit ribosomal RNA
Source: RNAcentral
GUAGGCGGUUUGUCGCGUCUGCUGUGAAAGCCCGGGGCUUAACCCCGGGUGUGCAGUGGGUACGGGCAGACUAGAGUGCAGUAGGGGAGACUGGAAUUCCUGGUGUAGCGGUGGAAUGCGCAGAUAUCAGGAGGAACACCGAUGGCGAAGGCAGGUCUCUGGGCUGUUACUGACGCUGAGGAGCGAAAGCAUGGGGAGCGAACAGGAUUAGAUACCCUGGUAGUCCAUGCCGUAAACGUUGGGCACUGGGUGUGGGGGACAUUCCACGUUUUCCGCGCCGUAGCUAACGCAUUAAGUGCCCCGCCUGGGGAGUACGGCCGCAAGGCUAAAACUCAAAGGAAUUGACGGGGGCCCGCACAAGCGGCGGAGCAUGCGGAUUAAUUCGAUGCAACGCGAAGAACCUUACCAAGGCUUGACAUAUACCGGAUCGUUCCAGAGAUGGUUCUUCCCCUUUGGGGUCGGUAUACAGGUGGUGCAUGGUUGUCGUCAGCUCGUGUCGUGAGAUGUUGGGUUAAGUCCCGCAACGAGCGCAACCCUCGUUCCAUGUUGCCAGCACGUGAUGGUGGGGACUCAUGGGAGACUGCCGGGGUCAACUCGGAGGAAGGUGGGGAUGACGUCAAAUCAUCAUGCCCCUUAUGUCUUGGGCUUCACGCAUGCUACAAUGGCCGGUACAAAGGGUUGCGAUACUGUGAGGUGGAGCUAAUCCCAAAAAGCCGGUCUCAGUUCGGAUUGAGGUCUGCAAC